RNAcentral lists this unclassified non-coding RNA (391 nucleotides) under soil metagenome. RNAcentral describes it as "partial contains 5.8S ribosomal RNA, internal transcribed spacer 2, and large subunit ribosomal RNA". The stretch from base 1 to 122 matches the Rfam family "5.8S ribosomal RNA", at positions 35 to 154 of the family's 154-position model. The record is from RNAcentral.
GAUGAAGAACGUAGCGGAAUGCGAUACUUGGUGUGAAUUGCAGAAUCCCGUGAACCAUCGAGUCUUUGAACGCAAGUUGCGCCCGAAGCCAUUAGGCCGAGGGCACGCCUGCCUGGGCGUCACACGUCGUUGCCCCCCCAUCUAAUCCUUCGGGAUUGCGGGGGGCGGAUGAUGGCCUCCCGUGCGCCUCGUCGCGCGGUUGGCAUAAAUGCCAAGUCCUCGGCGACGCACGCCACGACAAUCGGUGGUUGCGAAACCUCGGUUGCCCGUCGUGUGCGGUCGUCGCGCAUCGAGGGCUCGAAAAAAUUGCCGGGCUCCGGCUCGACUUUCAACGCGACCCCAGGUCAGGCGGGGUUACCCGCUGAAUUUAAGCAUAUCAAUAAGCGGAGGA